Molecule: small nucleolar RNA, 107 nt
Organism: Arabis alpina (gray rockcress)
Lineage: Eukaryota; Viridiplantae; Streptophyta; Magnoliopsida; Brassicales; Brassicaceae
Rfam family: Plant small nucleolar RNA R71
About the family: R71 is a member of the C/D box family of snoRNAs containing the C (UGAUGA) and D (CUGA) box motifs.
Source: Rfam
AAACCGUGGUGAGGGCAAUCCCUCUGAUAACCCUUGAAGUGUUCCCAUGAAGCCUUGUAUGCUUCAGUUGGAUCCUGAACAAAAGUGGAGAUCUUUGCUCUCAAAUC